CAGAUUUGGUUGCUGUGCUCUGCGAAAGCCAGUUACCACGGUUAAGCAGUUCCCCAACUGACUUAACCUUCGAUCAAACCACCUCCCCAGGUGGUUUUUUCGU
Molecule: non-coding RNA, 103 nt
Organism: Citrobacter koseri ATCC BAA-895
Lineage: Bacteria; Pseudomonadati; Pseudomonadota; Gammaproteobacteria; Enterobacterales; Enterobacteriaceae
Source: Rfam